This 536-nucleotide ribosomal RNA is filed under the name Arthrothynnus huntianus. RNAcentral describes it as "partial 16S ribosomal RNA". It matches the Rfam family "Bacterial large subunit ribosomal RNA", at positions 1805 to 2612 of the family's 2925-position model. Lineage: Eukaryota; Metazoa; Arthropoda; Insecta; Hymenoptera; Thynnidae. The record is from RNAcentral.
UAACAAAAACAUGGUCUUUUGAGAAUAAUUUAAGAUCGGUUCUGCUCACUGAAUAAAAUAUUUAAAGAGCUGCAGUAUCCUGACUGUGCAAAGGUAGCAAAGUCAAUUGUUUUUUAAUUGUAAACUGGAAUGAAAGAGCUGAUGAGAUAUAAACUGUCUCUAUUUAAGUAUUAGAAUUUGAAAUUUAAGUUAAAAUUCUUAAAUUUAAUUAUUAGACGAUAAGACCCUAUAGAAUUUUAUAAUAUUUAUUAUAACUUAUUUAUUAAAAUUUUUAAAUAUAUUAUAGCAUGAUUAUUUGAUUGGGAGGAUUUUUAAAUUUAAUGAACUUAAAAUAAUAAAAACCAAAAAUUUUUGAGUUAAUGAUUUUAAAAUAAUUAAAAGAUUAAAUUACCUUAGGGAUAACAGCGUAAUACUUUUGGAGAGAUCAUAUUAAUAAAAGUGUUUGCGACCUCGAUGUUGAAUUAAGAUAAAAAUUAAAUGCAGAAGUUUAAUAUUUAAGUCUGUUCGACUUUUAAAAUCUUACGUGAUCUGAGUUC